RNAcentral lists this transfer RNA (79 nucleotides) under Candidatus Bathyarchaeota archaeon. RNAcentral describes it as "tRNA-Pro". It matches the Rfam family "tRNA". From Rfam's summary of the family: Transfer RNA (tRNA) molecules are approximately 80 nucleotides in length. RNAcentral also lists the same sequence under 2 other names. The record is from RNAcentral. Lineage: Archaea; Thermoproteati; Candidatus Bathyarchaeota.
GGGGUCGUGGUCCAGCUUGGUCUAAGAUACGCGGCUCGGGCCCGCGAGAUCCCCGGUUCAAAUCCGGGCGACCCCACCA